Molecule: ribosomal RNA, 1233 nt
Filed under: metagenome
Description: bacterial SSU rRNA
Rfam family: Bacterial small subunit ribosomal RNA
Source: RNAcentral
AGAGUUUGAUCAUGGCUCAGAUUGAACGCUGGCGGCAGGCCUAACACACGCAAGUCGAACGGUAACAGGAAGAAGCUUGCUUCUUUGCUGACGAGUGGCGGACGGGUGAGUAAUGUCUGGGAAACUGCCUGAUGGAGGGGGAUAACUACUGGAAACGGUAGCUAAUACCGCAUAACGUCGCAAGACCAAAGAGGGGGACCUUCGGGCCUCUUGCCAUCGGAUGUGCCCAGAUGGGAUUAGCUAGUAGGUGGGGUAACGGCUCACCUAGACGACGAUCCCUAGCUGGUCUGAGAGGAUGACCAGCCACACUGGAACUGAGACACGGUCCAGACUCCUACGGGAGGCAGCAGUGGGGAAUAUUGCACAAUGGGCGCAAGCCUGAUGCAGCCAUGCCGCGUGUAUGAAGAAGGCCUUCGGGUUGUAAAGUACUUUCAGCGGGGAGGAAGGGAGUAAAGUUAAUACCUUUGCUCAUUGACGUUACCCGCAGAAGAAGCACCGGCUAACUCCGUGCCAGCAGCCGCGGUAAUACGGAGGGCGCAAGCGUUAAUCGGAAUUACUGGGCGUAAAGCGCACGCAGGCGGUUUGUUAAGUCAGAUGUGAAAUCCCCGGGCUCAACCUGGGAACUGCAUCUGAUACUGGCAAGCUUGAGUCUCGUAGAGGGGGGUAGAAUUCCAGGUGUAGCGGUGAAAUGCGUAGAGAUCUGGAGGAAUACCGGUGGCGAAGGCGGCCCCCUGGACGAAGACUGACGCUCAGGUGCGAAAGCGUGGGGAGCAAACAGGAUUAGAUACCCUGGUAGUCCACGCCGUAAACGAUGUCGACUUGGAGGUUGUGCCCUUGAGGCGUGGCUUCCGGAGCUAACGCGUUAAGUCGACCGCCUGGGGAGUACGGCCGCAAGGUUAAAACUCAAAUGAAUUGACGGGGGCCCGCACAAGCGGUGGAGCAUGUGGUUUAAUUCGAUGCAACGCGAAGAACCUUACCUGGUCUUGACAUCCACGGAAGUUUUCAGAGAUGAGAAUGUGCCUUCGGGAACCGUGAGACAGGUGCUGCAUGGCUGACGUCAGCUCGUGUUGUGAAAUGUUGGGUUAAGUCCCGCAACGAGCGCAACCCUUAUCCUCUGCUGCCAGCGGUCCGGCCGGGCACUCAAAGGAGACUGCCAGUGAUAAACUGGAGGAAGGUGGGGAUGACGUCAAGUCAUCAUGGCCCUUACGACCAGGGCUACACACGUGCUACAAU